GAUGAACGCUGGUGGCGUGCCUAAUACAUGCAAGUCGAGCGAACGGACGAGAAGCUUGCUUCUCUGAUGUUAGCGGCGGACGGGUGAGUAACACGUGGAUAACCUACCUAUAAGACUGGGAUAACUUCGGGAAACCGGAGCUAAUACCGGAUAAUAUUUUGAACCGCAUGGUUCAAAAGUGAAAGACGGUCUUGCUGUCACUUAUAGAUGGAUCCGCGCUGCAUUAGCUGGUUGGUAAGGUAACGGCUUACCAAGGCAACGAUGCAUAGCCGACCUGAGAGGGUGAUCGGCCACACUGGAACUGAGACACGGUCCAGACUCCUACGGGAGGCAGCAGUAGGGAAUCUUCCGCAAUGGGCGAAAGCCUGACGGAGCAACGCCGCGUGAGUGAUGAAGGUCUUCGGAUCGUAAAACUCUGUUAUUAGGGAAGAACAUAUGUGUAAGUAACUGUGCACAUCUUGACGGUACCUAAUCAGAAAGCCACGGCUAACUACGUGCCAGCAGCCGCGGUAAUACGUAGGUGGCAAGCGUUAUCCGGAAUUAUUGGGCGUAAAGCGCGCGUAGGCGGUUUUUUAGUCUGAUGUGAAAGCCCACGGCUCAACCGUGGAGGGUCAUUGGAAACUGGAAAACUUGAGUGCAGAAGAGGAAAGUGGAAUUCCAUGUGUAGCGGUGAAAUGCGCAGAGAUAUGGAGGAACACCAGUGGCGAAGGCGACUUUCUGGUCUGUAACUGACGCUGAUGUGCGAAAGCGUGGGGAUCAAACAGGAUUAGAUACCCUGGUAGUCCACGCCGUAAACGAUGAGUGCUAAGUGUUAGGGGGUUUCCGCCCCUUAGUGCUGCAGCUAACGCAUUAAGCACUCCGCCUGGGGAGUACGACCGCAAGGUUGAAACUCAAAGGAAUUGACGGGGACCCGCACAAGCGGUGGAGCAUGUGGUUUAAUUCGAAGCAACGCGAAGAACCUUACCAAAUCUUGACAUCCUUUGACAACUCUAGAGAUAGAGCCUUCCCCUUCGGGGGACAAAGUGACAGGUGGUGCAUGGUUGUCGUCAGCUCGUGUCGUGAGAUGUUGGGUUAAGUCCCGCAACGAGCGCAACCCUUAAGCUUAGUUGCCAUCAUUAAGUUGGGCACUCUAAGUUGACUGCCGGUGACAAACCGGAGGAAGGUGGGGAUGACGUCAAAUCAUCAUGCCCCUUAUGAUUUGGGCUACACACGUGCUACAAUGGACAAUACAAAGGGCAGCGAAACCGCGAGGUCAAGCAAAUCCCAUAAAGUUGUUCUCAGUUCGGAUUGUAGUCUGCAACUCGACUACAUGAAGCUGGAAUCGCUAGUAAUCGUAGAUCAGCAUGCUACGGUGAAUACGUUCCCGGGUCU
RNAcentral lists this ribosomal RNA (1371 nucleotides) under uncultured bacterium. Its description in RNAcentral is "bacterial SSU rRNA". It matches the Rfam family "Bacterial small subunit ribosomal RNA", at positions 28 to 1381 of the family's 1533-position model. The record is from RNAcentral.